GCCGCCGUAGCAUCAACGGCAGAGCGCCCGCUUUGUAAGUGGGAGGAUAGGGGUUCGAAUCCCUUCGGCGGCU
Molecule: transfer RNA, 73 nt
Filed under: Anaerolineae bacterium
Lineage: Bacteria; Bacillati; Chloroflexota; Anaerolineae
Description: tRNA-Thr
Rfam family: tRNA
About the family: Transfer RNA (tRNA) molecules are approximately 80 nucleotides in length. Their secondary structure includes four short double-helical elements and three loops (D, anti-codon, and T loops).
Source: RNAcentral